AGAGUUUGAUCAUGGCUCAGGUACGAACGCUGGCGGCGCGCCUAACACAUGCAAGUCGAACGAGAGAUGAGGAGCUUGCUCUUCAAAUCGAGUGGCGAACGGGUGAGUAACGCGUGAGGAACCUGCCUCAAAGAGGGGGACAACAGUUGGAAACGACUGCUAAUACCGCAUAAGCCCACGGGUCGGCAUCGACCUGAGGGAAAAGGAGCAAUCCGCUUUGAGAUGGCCUCGCGUCCGAUUAGCUAGUUGGUGAGGUAACGGCCCACCAAGGCGACGAUCGGUAGCCGGACUGAGAGGUUGAACGGCCACAUUGGGACUGAGACACGGCCCAGACUCCUACGGGAGGCAGCA
Molecule: ribosomal RNA, 351 nt
Filed under: uncultured bacterium
Lineage: Bacteria
Description: bacterial SSU rRNA
Rfam family: Bacterial small subunit ribosomal RNA
Source: RNAcentral